RNAcentral lists this ribosomal RNA (493 nucleotides) under uncultured bacterium. Its description in RNAcentral is "partial 16S ribosomal RNA". It matches the Rfam family "Bacterial small subunit ribosomal RNA", at positions 28 to 507 of the family's 1533-position model. The record is from RNAcentral.
GACGAACGCUGGCGGCGUGCUUAACACAUGCAAGUCGAACGGUGAAGCGCCUUCCUUUUUGGUGGGUGUGGAUGAGUGGCGAACGGGUGAGUAACACGUGAGUAACCUGCCCCCUUCUUCUGGAUAACCGCAUGAAAGUGUGGCUAAUACGGGAUAUUCUGGGUCUGUCGCAUGAUGGGUCUGGGAAAGAUAUUGUUUCGGUGGGGAUGGGCUCGCGGCCUAUCAGCUUGUUGGUGGGGUGAUGGCCUACCAAGGCGGUGACGGGUAGCCGGCCUGAGAGGGUGGACGGUCACACUGGGACUGAGACACGGCCCAGACUCCUACGGGAGGCAGCAGUGGGGAAUAUUGCACAAUGGGCGCAAGCCUGAUGCAGCGACGCCGCGGGAGGGAUGGAGGCCUUCGGGUUGUGAACCUCUUUCGCCAGUGAAGCAGGCCUGCCUCGUUUGUGGGUGGGUUGACGGUAGCUGGAUAAGAAGCGCCGGCUAACUACGUG